UACGUAGGGUCCGAGCGUUGUCCGGAAUUAUUGGGCGUAAAGGGCUCGUAGGCGGUUCGUCACGUCGGGAGUGAAAACUCGGGGCUUAACCCCGAGCCUGCUUCCGAUACGGGCAGACUAGAGGUAGGCAGGGGAGAGCGGAACUCCUGGUGUAGCGGUGGAAUGCGCAGAUAUCAGGAAGAACACCGGUGGCGAAGGCGGCUCUCUGGGCCUUACCUGACGCUGGGGAGCGAAAGCGUGGGUAGCGAACAGG
RNAcentral lists this ribosomal RNA (253 nucleotides) under uncultured bacterium. Its description in RNAcentral is "partial 16S ribosomal RNA". It matches the Rfam family "Bacterial small subunit ribosomal RNA", at positions 524 to 776 of the family's 1533-position model. The record is from RNAcentral.